UGAGCUGAAAAUUGGAUUUUUGAGCUUUUCUUGAUGCUAACUUUGUAGGCAGUGGGAUUUUAGACCUGAGAUUGAUCACCCCUCAGUAUUUGCUGGAUUUGAAACUGUCCUCACCUGAUUUGGAGAUCAUUAGGUGAGUUUUGACAUUGGAGUUGAGAUGAAUUAGCUUAAGUGCUGAAAUUUUGGCUAAUUGAUAGUUUUGUUGGAUUUUUGGGUGAAUUGUGAUGUCCAGAUCUUGAGGAGCUUGAUUGCUGGUUUGGAGGUGUUUCCAGCAGUGUUACUAGAGAUCCGAGACCAUCUUGCUACCAGGAAUUGCAUUAGAGGUGGGUGUAUCAUCGGUUUUGCUCCUAAGUGCAUGUUUAGUCGACGUGUAUAGUUCGAUUUUGUAUAUCAUGCUUUAAUUCAUCGAUUAGCAUUUUGGAUGUAAUAUGAAUAUGAAAGCAUGCUGAAAUGAAUGGUUAUAUUAUACAUGUUGGACUGAAAAUUUGACUUAGGAGAAAACCUGCGUUUUGACCCGUCAUAUGCUUAAACUACCAGAUUUAGCUCUAGGAGCCGUGAAUCGAUUGUAUCGUUGCAGUGUCAGUGCGAUGGAUACCUGGGGUAGUUUAGUAGGCAUUUAUACUCGUGCUGGGAUGCCGAGUUUAUUUUUCAGCAGAGUUUAGGCUGUUUCGGGUCGUUGGGUGCCGUUUGGGUUAGCGGUGGACCCAGAUUCUUGUUUUGGUCACAGAUUGUGCCGAGGGCACGUGGGUUUGGUUGUAGACCUGUUUUGACCCUGUUCACUUGACUUUGGCUAGUUGGAGCCUGUUUGAGCUCGACAGAGACACGCUGCAUACUCGAUUGGGUAGCGCCCACGAGUGCCACUCCGGAGUCAGGCGUUGUGCUUUCGCGUUGGUGUCGCUCAUGCCAGUUGGACUUGCUCUCCACGGACCAGUUAGUGUGGAUAGAGCACGAUAGUCGCAACGGGGCAGGGACGGGUGUAUUCACAGUCCCGGGGACGGGUAUGCUUACAGUCCCGAUUGGAUUGGGUCAGAUUGGACUUUUCCUACAGUUGGUUAGUGUAGAGCACGAUAGUGUAGUGUUUGAUAGCGGUAGACUUUAUUUCCGCAUUUUCUACUAUUCUUGCUCCCUUCUGUAGACUUAGUGGGUGGACCGAUGUUGUUUUGGGCGGUACCCACUGAGGACUACUUGUUUUUACAGUAGUUCUCACGCCCUGUUGUUACUUUAUCUUUUGCAGAGCCAUCGUCUUCGGCUGCUGCUACUGCUGAUCAGGAUCGAGGCAAGGGCGUCGCGAGUUAGAGCCCUACCCUACGAGCCGAGCUAGAGGUGCCCUACUGCAGGUAGUA
This 1343-nucleotide long non-coding RNA is filed under the name Ananas comosus (pineapple). RNAcentral's name for it is "long non-coding RNA (ACOM_LNC026709)". The record is from RNAcentral. Lineage: Eukaryota; Viridiplantae; Streptophyta; Magnoliopsida; Poales; Bromeliaceae.